UGGAGGCAGCAGUGAGGAAUCUUGCACAAUGGGCGCAAGCCUGAUGCAGCGACGCCGCGUGAAUGAUGAAGGCUUUCGGGUUGUAAAGUUCAGUAAGCAGGGAAGAAUAAGUGGGGAGUAAUAUUCCUCAUGAUGACGGUACCUGCCUAAAGCCCCGGCUAACUACGUGCCAGCAGCCGCGGUAAUACGUAUGGGGCGAGCGUUGUUCGGAAUUAUUGGGCGUAAAGGGCGUCUAGGCGGGGAAUUAAGUUAGGUGUGAAAGCUAUGGGCUCAACCCAUAAACUGCAUCUAAAACUGAUUCUCUUGAGUUCGGGAGAGGAGAGCGGAAUUCCAGGUGUAGCGGUGAAAUGCGUAGAUAUCUGGAAGAACACCAGUGGCGAAGGCGGCUCUCUGGCCUAGAACUGACGCUGAAGCGCGAAAGCGUGGGGAGCGAACAGGAUUAGAUACCCCGGUAGC
RNAcentral lists this ribosomal RNA (456 nucleotides) under uncultured bacterium. RNAcentral describes it as "bacterial SSU rRNA". It matches the Rfam family "Bacterial small subunit ribosomal RNA", at positions 343 to 794 of the family's 1533-position model. The record is from RNAcentral.